This 335-nucleotide unclassified non-coding RNA is filed under the name soil metagenome. Its description in RNAcentral is "partial contains 5.8S ribosomal RNA, internal transcribed spacer 2, and large subunit ribosomal RNA". The stretch from base 1 to 120 matches the Rfam family "5.8S ribosomal RNA", at positions 35 to 154 of the family's 154-position model. The record is from RNAcentral.
GAUGAAGAACGCAGCGAAAUGCGAUAAGUAAUGUGAAUUGCAGAAUUCAGUGAAUCAUCGAAUCUUUGAACGCACAUUGCGCCCAUUAGUAUUCUAGUGGGCAUGCCUGUUCGAGCGUCAUUUCAACCCUUAAGCCUAGCUUAGUAUUGGGAAUCGACUUUACUGUCGUUCCUCAAAUUCAACGGCGGAUUUAUAGCAAUCUCUGAACGUAGUAAUUUUUUUCCUCGUUUUUGAAAUACUAUAAACCUCAGCCGCUAAACCACCAAUUUUUUUAUGGUUGACCUCGGAUCAGGUAGGAAUACCCGCUGAACUUAAGCAUAUCAAUAAGCGGAGCA